UGCCAGCCGCCGCGGUAACACGUAGGGACCGAGCGUUGUCCGGAUUUAUUGGGCGUAAAGAGCUCGUAGGCGGUUUCGUAAGUCGGAUGUGAAAACUCAGGGCUCAACCCUGAGACGCCAUCUGAUACUGCGAUGACUAGAGUCCGGUAGGGGAGCAUGGAAUUCCUGGUGUAGCGGUGGAAUGCGCAGAUAUCAGGAGGAACACCAAUGGCGAAGGCAUCUAGCCAGAACGGAUCCGACGGUCAGGAACGAAAGCUAGGGGAGCGAACCGGAUUAGAUA
This 280-nucleotide ribosomal RNA is filed under the name uncultured bacterium. RNAcentral's name for it is "partial 16S ribosomal RNA". It matches the Rfam family "Bacterial small subunit ribosomal RNA", at positions 506 to 784 of the family's 1533-position model. The record is from RNAcentral.